Vombatus ursinus (common wombat) is the source of this 626-nucleotide non-coding RNA. The record is from the annotation of a RefSeq genome assembly. NCBI's taxonomy places the organism in Eukaryota, Metazoa, Chordata, Mammalia, Diprotodontia, Vombatidae.
CAGACUGAAACAACUCUUGAAGCAGUGUCAGCCAAUGGAAUCAGCAGCCAGAAAGUAAGCAGACUCAUUGAAGGAUAGCCUGCUCCUGGAAAUUCACAGGAAGGACUUUCUCCUCCUUGAAGUAACCAAUCUCUUUGGUCCUAUGGACCCACCUACCCCCAAAUAAGAGAGGAACCCCAGCUUCAUUUUACUGAGCCAUGACCUCUGUGCCCAUUCUCGCACUUGUGAUGCUAUUCAUACCUAGAGCAACAGCACAGUCAGUGACUCAACCUGAAGACCAGGUCUCUGUCCCUGAAGGGUUCCCAGUGGAGUUGAAAUGCACUUAUUCCUCUUCUGGGGCUGCUUAUCUCUACUGGUAUGUCCAGUAUCCCAACCAAGAGCUUCAAGUCCUCCUGAGACAUACUUCACAGGAAAGCAACAAAGGCUUUCAGGCCAAUAAGGAUGAAACCUCCUACCAUAUGAGGAAGCUCCAUGUCCAAGAAGAAGAUGCAGCUGUGUACUUCUGUGUUCUGGGUGACACAGUGAGAGAGCUCACAAGUGGAGCUGAACACAAACCUCCUGAGACAGUCUUUGAAAUGUUCUUCAAAGGGACUUUUUUUCUUCCUUUUUCAGAGUCCUCUAGGUGA